Molecule: ribosomal RNA, 278 nt
Filed under: uncultured Clostridium sp.
Lineage: Bacteria; Bacillati; Bacillota; Clostridia; Eubacteriales; Clostridiaceae
Description: partial 16S ribosomal RNA
Rfam family: Bacterial small subunit ribosomal RNA
Source: RNAcentral
GCAGCCGCGGUAAUACGUAGGUGGCGAGCGUUGUCCGGAUUUACUGGGCGUAAAGGGAGCGUAGGCGGACUUUUAAGUGAGAUGUGAAAUACCCGGGCUCAACUUGGGUGCUGCAUUUCAAACUGGAAGUCUAGAGUGCAGGAGAGGAGAAUGGAAUUCCUAGUGUAGCGGUGAAAUGCGUAGAGAUUAGGAAGAACACCAGUGGCGAAGGCGAUUCUCUGGACUGUAACUGACGCUGAGGCUCGAAAGCGUGGGGAGCAAACAGGAUUAGAUACCCG